UUCACUCGAUUGUUUCCUAGUUUACACGCAUCGUUAUCUAUCUAACUUUCAAUACUUUGUUUCUCAAUCCUCCAUCCACAAUAUUCCUUUUUCAUUUCUUUCAAACAACAUGCCAUACAAUCUUAAUAAUUUUCAACUAGCUUAGGCAAAUAGAUCCUUUCAACAACCGUAAUUCCUCACAAUAUUCAACUAACCGUAAUCUUUAAAACAUAGUGUUAAGCUUACCGUUUUCCUUUUCCACUUUGAGUCCUUUAUGUACCCAUGGGUUUAUUGGAUUACAUGUUACCAAUUUUUCUCCAAUCAAGCCAAUCUUUGCUGCCACGAGACAUUUCUCUAAGUCACUAACUCAAUUUCAAAGACUACUCAAGCCAAAAACAAGAAUUCUUACCGUUCCUUACUUUAAUCACCAAAACCAAGCUUUUUCUUCCUUUCUCUCUUUUUCUUUCUUCUCCUCCUAGGGUUUAGAUGUGCUGGAAAUUAGGGUUAAAGGCUCUAAAUUUAGUGCUCAAGAAGUUUGGAGAAGAAAGGAAAAGAAAACAUGGAAAGUAAAAUGAAGAAAACUUGAUUUCAUGGUGGAUAAAGAGAAAAUGGCAUGGAAGCUUCAAGAAUG
Molecule: long non-coding RNA, 610 nt
Filed under: Theobroma cacao (cacao)
Lineage: Eukaryota; Viridiplantae; Streptophyta; Magnoliopsida; Malvales; Malvaceae
Description: long non-coding RNA (TCAC_LNC003165)
Source: RNAcentral